UGCAUAUUCCAAAACGGAGGAAAAGAAACCAACCGGGAUUGCCUUAGUAACGGCGAGUGAAGCGGCAAAAGCUCAAAUUUGAAAUCUGGUACCUUCGGUGCCCGAGUUGUAAUUUGGAGAGGGCAACUUUGGGGCCGUUCCUUGUCUAUGUUCCUUGGAACAGGACGUCAUAGAGGGUGAGAAUCCCGUGUGGCGAGGAGUGCGGUUCUUUGUAAAGUGCCUUCGAAGAGUCGAGUUGUUUGGGAAUGCAGCUCUAAGUGGGUGGUAAAUUCCAUCUAAAGCUAAAUAUUGGCGAGAGACCGAUAGCGAACAAGUACAGUGAUGGAAAGAUGAAAAGAACUUUGAAAAGAGAGUGAAAAAGUACGUGAAAUUGUUGAAAGGGAAGGGCAUUUGAUCAGACAUGGUGUUUUGUGCCCUCUGCUCCUUGUGGGUAGGGGAAUCUCGCAUUUCACUGGGCCAGCAUCAGUUUUGGUGGCAGGAUAAAUCCAUAGGAAUGUAGCUUGCCUCGGUAAGUAUUAUAGCCUGUGGGAAUACUGCCAGCUGGGACUGAGGACUGCGACGUAAGUCAAGGAUGCUGGCAUAAUGGUUAUAUGCCGCCCGUCUUAACACACCGGGACCAGACG
Molecule: ribosomal RNA, 623 nt
Filed under: Saccharomyces cerevisiae (brewer's yeast)
Lineage: Eukaryota; Fungi; Ascomycota; Saccharomycetes; Saccharomycetales; Saccharomycetaceae
Description: partial large subunit ribosomal RNA
Rfam family: Eukaryotic large subunit ribosomal RNA
Source: RNAcentral